RNAcentral lists this ribosomal RNA (253 nucleotides) under uncultured bacterium. Its description in RNAcentral is "partial 16S ribosomal RNA". It matches the Rfam family "Bacterial small subunit ribosomal RNA", at positions 524 to 776 of the family's 1533-position model. The record is from RNAcentral.
UACGUAGGCAGCGAGCGUUGUUCGGAAUUACUGGGCGUAAAGAGUGUGUAGGCGGUGCUCCCAGUCUGUUGUGAAAUCUCCCGGCUUAACUGGGAGGGUGCAGCGGAAACUAGAGUGCUAGAGGGUGGGAGAGGUAAGCGGAAUUCCUGGUGUAGCGGUGAAAUGCGUAGAUAUCAGGAGGAACACCUGUGGUGUAGACAGCUUACUGGACCACUUCUGACGCUGAGACACGAAAGCGUGGUAGCAAAACAGG